RNAcentral lists this ribosomal RNA (433 nucleotides) under Schlechtendalia chinensis (horned gall aphid). RNAcentral describes it as "partial 16S ribosomal RNA". Lineage: Eukaryota; Metazoa; Arthropoda; Insecta; Hemiptera; Aphididae. The record is from RNAcentral.
CAAUGAGUAAWUUANAUAGCUGCAGUAUUNUNACUNUGCAAAGGUAGCAUAAUAAUUAGUCUUUUAAUUGAAGACUAGAAUGAAAGAUUUGAUGAGAAAUAAACUUUAUUAUUUAUAUAAUUAAAAUUUUAUUUUUAAGUAAAAAAGCUUAAAUAUUUUAAAGGGACGAUAAGACCCUAUAAAACUUUAUAAUUUUAUAUAUUAUAAUUUUUGGUUUAUAUAAAUUUUAAUAUUUAGAAUUAUUUUAUUGGGGUGAUAAAAAAAAUUAUUAAACUUUUUUUAAAAUUUAACAUAAAUUAAUNAUAUAUUUGAAUUAAAAUUUUUAUUUAAAUGAAAAAGUUACUNUAGGGAUAACAGCGUAAUUAGUUUUUUAAGUUCAAAUUUNAAAAUUAGUNUGCGACCUCGAUGUUGANNNAAGAUUAAUCUUAGGUGC